This is a non-coding RNA of Vicugna pacos (alpaca), 1470 nucleotides long. Lineage: Eukaryota; Metazoa; Chordata; Mammalia; Artiodactyla; Camelidae. The record is from RefSeq and is a predicted model, not a curated record.
AUCUUUCAGUCCGUCUGUCUGUCUGCAGCACUGCCACUCGGUGCUGAGCCGCCACGACCGAACAGCAGAGGGAAGAUCUCACCACGAUAGAGACUCGCUGGGGAUUUAGGAAACCUCGCCUCUCACUUGGUCAGAGAUUUUCAUAACCAAAUGGAGCUUUUGAGAUCAUGGCUGAAUAUCCAAGGCUUCAGCCUUCCUAGUGUUUGGAUUUGCUGCUGAAAUGUCCGCAAGAGCUCAAGUAUGUCUGAAGAGAAGUAAAUACAGCACCUGUUCUGAAAGUGCCUGUGAGUGAAACAGGGCAUUCAAAAAUACCUGCAAAGACCCAGCCCACUGACCGUCUUCCUGGUCUCUGGUUAAAUGGUUUCACUGGCAAUGUGAAUAGAGAGCAGCCUUGAGGAUGAUUUUGGACCCAGAAUUUCUGUGUCAUCUGCAUUUAUUUAGAGCCAGAAUAGCUGGUUGAAUAUUACUUGUUGAGUAAUGUGACCUUGGGCUCCUUCCUACAGGCAGAGCCCAGGCAGCUCUUGCUGAAGCGUCGUUAUCAGAUUAGGAGACCACUGAAAUGGUUGGUCUGCUUUAUUUUCACACACGUGUUUCUUCUCCAUAUACAAAAACCAUAGUCGAGUGUCUGUAAUUCAAAUGCCUUUCAAUUAGUCUAGUCCUGCAGAAUCAUUCAUCAACAUAAAAGCCACGGUCUGGCACUCCAAAUAUAGGAAGUAAAUUGAAUUGCUUUGUAUUAGUCAUAAAAGCCACCAUGACAAUACUGUGACUGUCACUAGUACAUUUUCCUAGCUUUGCAUGGCUUUAAUAUAUUAAUGUGAGAAGUGUGACCUUUAAACGACCUUGAAUGAGUAAGCCUUCAAAGUACAUUUACUGCGUGCUGGCAGGCCAGGCACUGUUCCAGGCACCAGGGAUGCCCAGGGGCCCUGGCCUCUUGGAGCUGUGUUCCUAUAGAGUGAAACAGGUAACAAAAAGUAAAAAGUGAGCAUAUCAGAUGGUGAAAAACCAUUACAAAGAAAAUUAAAAGAAUGUGAUAGAAAUUGGACUGUUUCGGGUUAAUUUGGUUGAGAAAUCAGGCCCUGAGAAGAUCUCAGGAGGGGAUUUCAGGAAGAGGGGAGCCCUGGUGAGGCUCCGGGGGCAGACGUGAGCUGGGUGGUUCUCGCGAGAGGGACCACUCAGAGUGAUGCUUCCUCCGGUGGGGGAGGGGCGCUUGGGAGGAACCGAGGUCAGGACGGUGAGACCCGCAGGUGGGGUGCGAAGUUCUCACGGAACCCAGGUCUGCACCUGGACUUGCAUCUUCCGUAAUUUCUCAUGUGUGUUUAAAUUGUUUAGCUUUUCUGUUGAAUUAUUUUUAUGUCCUAAGAAGAUAGUUCUCUCUGUAUCACUGAAGAAUAUAGAAAAAAAUAAGUAUUUCUCAAUAUUUUUGCUUUAAGAGGAAAUUGGAACAUAUUACAUCACUCUAAAUAGAGAAAA